GCAGACACAUUCCAGCCAAUCAGCAGCAGACCCUCCCUCCCAGGUCCUCCCACCUCCUGGACAGCAUCCAUUUUACAUUCAUUGUGAAGCUGCAUUCUUAGUGAGCUGUCCAGGAGGUGGGAGGGUCUGGGAGGGAGGGUCUGCUGCUGAUUGGCUGGAAUGUGUCUG
Molecule: microRNA precursor, 168 nt
Filed under: Pelobates cultripes (western spadefoot toad)
Lineage: Eukaryota; Metazoa; Chordata; Amphibia; Anura; Pelobatidae
Source: RNAcentral